Molecule: ribosomal RNA, 897 nt
Filed under: uncultured bacterium
Lineage: Bacteria
Description: bacterial SSU rRNA
Rfam family: Bacterial small subunit ribosomal RNA
Source: RNAcentral
GCUCAGAUUGAACGCUGGCGGCAUGCCUUACACAUGCAAGUCGAACGGCAGCACGGGAGCAAUCCUGGUGGCGAGUGGCGAACGGGUGAGUAAUAUAUCGGAACGUGCCCAGUCGUGGGGGAUAACGCAGCGAAAGCUGUGCUAAUACCGCAUACGAUCUACGGAUGAAAGCGGGGGAUCGCAAGACCUCGCGCGAUUGGAGCGGCCGAUAUCAGAUUAGGUUGUUGGUGGGGUAAAAGCCCACCAAGCCGACGAUCUGUAGCUGGUCUGAGAGGACGACCAGCCACACUGGAACUGAGACACGGUCCAGACUCCUACGGGAGGCAGCAGUGGGGAAUUUUGGACAAUGGGCGCAAGCCUGAUCCAGCAAUGCCGCGUGCAGGAUGAAGGCCUUCGGGUUGUAAACUGCUUUUGUACGGAACGAAACGGCCUACUCUAAUACAGUGGGCUAAUGACGGUACCGUAAGAAUAAGCACCGGCUAACUACGUGCCAGCAGCCGCGGUAAUACGUAGGGUGCGAGCGUUAAUCGGAAUUACUGGGCGUAAAGCGUGCGCAGGCGGUUAUAUAAGACAGAUGUGAAAUCCCCGGGCUCAACCUGGGACCUGCAUUUGUGACUGUAUAGCUAGAGUGCGGCAGAGGGGGAUGGAAUUCCGCGUGUAGCAGUGAAAUGCGUAGAUAUGCGGAGGAACACCGAUGGCGAAAGCAAUCCCCUGGGCCUGCACUGACGCUCAUGCACGAAAGCGUGGGGAGCAAACAGGAUUAGAUACCCUGGUAGUCCACGCCCUAAACGAUGUCAACUGGUUGUUGGGUCUUCACUGACUCAGUAACGAAGCUAACGCGUGAAGUUGACCGCCUGGGAGUACGGCCGCAAGGUGAAACUCAAAGGAAUUGACGGG